Non-coding RNA from Pteropus alecto (black flying fox), 119 nucleotides. Lineage: Eukaryota; Metazoa; Chordata; Mammalia; Chiroptera; Pteropodidae. The record is from Rfam.
GUCUACGGCAAUGCCACCCUGCACGUGCCCGAUCUCGUCUGAUCUCGGAAGCUAAGCAGGGUCGGGCCUGGUUAGUACUUGCUUGGGAGACCACCUGAGAAUACCAAGUGCUGGAGGCU